This 277-nucleotide unclassified non-coding RNA is filed under the name Hevea brasiliensis (rubber tree). Lineage: Eukaryota; Viridiplantae; Streptophyta; Magnoliopsida; Malpighiales; Euphorbiaceae. The record is from RNAcentral.
GCAAAUUUCACCAUGAAACAAAAAAAAAUAGCAUAAAACACAGUUGUGGUUAUUCAUAAUUUUGAAGAAAUUGUUGAAAAACCUGUAGAGUAAAAUGGACAUGAUCUUGAACACCAGAGAGUUGUGUUUGUGCGGCUGUAUUAACUUCGUUGAUUUUCUGCCUAAUUCUUUCUGUAAUAAUUCUCUCUUCAGCUGCAGCUAUGGCAUCCAUCUUUUUAUCUGAAUGAUUUGUGUGAAUUUUUGGGGAUUUAGGGUUUAUGAUAACUACUAUUGGGGU